RNAcentral lists this ribosomal RNA (468 nucleotides) under uncultured bacterium. RNAcentral describes it as "partial 16S ribosomal RNA". It matches the Rfam family "Bacterial small subunit ribosomal RNA", at positions 28 to 507 of the family's 1533-position model. The record is from RNAcentral.
GAUGAACGCUGACAGAAUGCUUAACACAUGCAAGUCCACUUGAAUUUGGGUUUUUUAACUUAGAUUUGGGUGGCGGACGGGUGAGUAACGCGUAAAGAACUUGCCUCACAGCUAGGGACAACAUUUGGAAACGAAUGCUAAUACCUGAUAUUAUGAUUAUAAGGCAUCUUAGAAUUAUGAAAGCUAUAUGCGCUGUGAGAGAGCUUUGCGUCCCAUUAGCUAGUUGGAGAGGUAACGGCUCACCAAGGCGAUGAUGGGUAGCCGGCCUGAGAGGGUGAACGGCCACAAGGGGACUGAGACACGGCCCUUACUCCUACGGGAGGCAGCAGUGGGGAAUAUUGGACAAUGGACCAAGAGUCUGAUCCAGCAAUUCUGUGUGAACGAUGACGUUUUUCGGAAUGUAAAGUGCUUUCAGUUGGGAAGAAAAAAAUGACGGUACCAACAGAAGAAGUGACGGCUAAAUACGUG